Molecule: ribosomal RNA, 887 nt
Filed under: uncultured Orbiliaceae
Lineage: Eukaryota; Fungi; Ascomycota; Orbiliomycetes; Orbiliales
Description: eukaryotic LSU rRNA
Rfam family: Eukaryotic large subunit ribosomal RNA (bases 305-887)
Source: RNAcentral
UCGAGUCUUUGAACGCACAUUGCGCCUUUUGGUAUUCCGAAAGGCACGUCUGUUCGAGCGUCAGUAAAACCCUUCCGGACCGGUGAUUUUUGCAAAAGAACCGCCUGGCCUCGGGACCCUGGCGUGGGGAAGUGACCCCGGAGCCCUCGUGGCUCCGCUGGGUUUCCCCCGCUUAAACGCGGAGAAAGCUAGCGGGCAUUGGCCUCACAUAUUGCGACAACUCGUAAACUUUACAACGUUGGAAGCACAGUGGACCUGCCCCGCCUCUUGCAACACAUAGGAACCUUCACGGUUCCCUGACCUUUGACCUCAGAUCAGAUGAGGAUACCCGCUGAACUUAAGCAUAUCAAUAAGCGGAGGAAAAGAAACCAACAGGGAUUGCCUCAGUAGCGGCGAGUGAAGCGGCAAAAGCUCAGAUUUGAAAUCCGGUGCGCUCCGCGCUCCCGAGUUGUAAUCUGGAGAGGAUGCUUCGGCGAGGACCCGGGCCCAAGUCCCUUGGAACAGGGCGUCUAAGAGGGUGAGAACCCCGUACCCGGCCCGCGGUAUUAGCCAUGUGUAGCUCCUUCGACGAGUCGAGUUGUUUGGGAAUGCAGCUCAAACUGGGUGGUAAAUUCCAUCUAAAGCUAAAUAUUGGCGGGAGACCGAUAGCGCACAAGUAGAGUGAUCGAAAGAUGAAAAGCACUUUGAAAAGAGAGUUAAAAAGUACGUGAAAUUGUUGAAAGGGAAGCGCUUGCCAUCAGAAUCGGUGCCGGUCGAUCAACGUUCCUUCUGGUUCGUGCACUCGUCCGGUUUUCCGUGCCAGCAUCGGUUGGCGCGGCGGGACAAAAGCUGCGGGAAAGUGGCUCCCCUCGGGGAGUGUUAUAGCCCGCGGCACAAUACCGCCUGCU